GUGAACAACUAAGGGCGCGCGGUGGAUGCCUAGGCUCUCGGAGGCGAAGAAGGACGCGAUAAGCCGCGAUAGUCCACGGCGAGGUGCAAGUAACCCUUGACCCGUGGGUUUCCGAAUGGGGCAACCCGGCCGUCUAGAUGACGGUCAUGCAUUAUCAUGCAGGCGAACGCGGGGAACUGAAACAUCUCAUUACCCGCAGGAGAAGAAAACAAAAUGUGAUUCCCCCAGUAGUGGCGAGCGAACGGGGAAGAGCCCAAACCGGUGCCGUUUCGGCGACACCGGGGUCAUGGGACCGCGCCAUUCGACGAUGGACGAAGUGCAAUUACCUGGAAAGGUAAGCCGCGGAGGGUGAUAGCCCCGUGCACGACAGCCCCAUCGAAGAUAGCGGAAUCCCGAGUAGGGCGGGACACGAGAAAUCCUGCCUGAAUUCGCCAGGACCUCCUGGCAAGGCUAAAUACUCCCGAGAGACCGAUAGUGAACCAGUACCGCGAGGGAAAGGUGAAAAGUACCCCGAGCAGGGGGGUGAAAUAGACCCUGAACCCGCGCGCCUACAAGCGGUCGGAGCCGGUCAGUCCGGUGACGGCGUGCCUUUUGCAUAAUGAGCCUACGAGUUAGUCGUCACCAGCGAGGUUAAGUCCUUCAGGGACGUGAGCCGAAGUGAAAGCGAGCCUCUAAAGGGCGUAAAGUUGGUGGCGCUAGACGCGAAACCUUGUGAUCUACCCACGAGCAGGUUGAAGUCGCGGUAACGCGUGAUGGAGGACCGAACCGGUAAACGUUGAAAAGUUUUCGGAUGACUCGCGGGUAGGGGUGAAAGGCCAAUCAAACUGGGAAAUAGCUCGUACUCUCCGAAAUGCAUUUCGGUGCAGCCUGUGAUGUUCUGUUCCAGAGGUAGAGCUACUGGUUGGACGCGAGGGCUUCACCGCCUAUCAAAUCCGGAUAAACUCCGAAUGCUGGAACACGAAAUCAUGGAGUGAGCCCGCGGGUGCUAAGGUCCGCGGACGAGAGGGAAAGAACCCGGACCACCGGCUAAGGUCCCGGAUGGACAGUUAAGUUGAUCAAACGAGGUGGGAUCGCGGAGACAGCUAGGAUGUUGGCUUGGAAGCAGCCAUUCAUUUAAAGAGUGCGUAACAGCUCACUAGUCGAGCGAUCCCGCGUGGAUAAUACACGGGCAUCAAACUGUCAACCGAAGCCGUGGGGUCAGUGUUGAACUGACCGGUAGGAGAGCAUUCCUGCCAGCGUUGAAGGUCACCCGCGAGAGUGACUGGAGCGGCAUGAAAAGCAAAUGUAGGCAUAAGUAACGAUAAUGGGGGCGAGAACCCCCCACGCCGCAAGACCAAGGAUUCCCCGGCAAUGUCAAUCAGCCGGGGGUCAGCCGGCCUCUAAGGCUAACCCGAAGGGGGAUGCCGACGAGAAACGGGUUAACAUUCCCGUGCUUCUCGUCACCGUGACGCGGUGACGGGGUGAUGAAUGGACCGCGCGCUGACGGAAUAGCGCGUUGAAGGCCGUACCCUGUGACGGUGGUAGUCAAGCACGCCACCGGAGGCGAAAGUCGAUAGUACCGCGAGGCCUCGGCCGAGCGGAUAGCGUUCCGGGCGUUAACCCCCGAGAAAACCCGCUAAACUUCAAGUGACGAGGAACCGUACUGUAAACGGACACACGUGGUCGGGUAGAACAUACCAAGGCGCUCGAGUGAUUCAUGGUCAAGGAACUAGGCAAAAUAGUCCUGUAACUUCGGGAAAAAGGACGCUCUAGUGAUAGAGCCGCAGAGUAAUGGCCCAGGCGACUGUUUACCAAAAACACAUGGCUAUGCCAAAUCGAAAGAUGACGUAUAUGGCCUGACACCUGCCCGGUGCCGGAAGGUUAAGAGGAGAGCUCAUCGGAAACGAGAAGGUUUGAAUUGAAGCCCCGGUAAACGGCGGCCGUAACUAUAACGGUCCUAAGGUAGCGAAAUUCCUUGUCGG
This 1961-nucleotide ribosomal RNA is filed under the name human gut metagenome. RNAcentral describes it as "bacterial LSU rRNA". It matches the Rfam family "Bacterial large subunit ribosomal RNA", at positions 1 to 1975 of the family's 2925-position model. The record is from RNAcentral.